RNAcentral lists this long non-coding RNA (588 nucleotides) under Mytilus galloprovincialis (Mediterranean mussel). The record is from RNAcentral. Lineage: Eukaryota; Metazoa; Mollusca; Bivalvia; Mytilida; Mytilidae.
GUUCCUCAUCUUUGUUUAUACUUCAACAUAUUUAAGACUCGUCAAUUUCUGGUACACAGCUGCCAUCAGUUCUCAUUAACUCUGACAACAACCUUGGUGUAGCUGUAGAUAUGACCUGCUCAAUUGUUUUACCACAAGAUUUGGAAUGGUCAGGCAGAUAAUGUCUUUUUCGUUGACUUCUCUUUCUGAUUUCUCUAGGUAUUGUUAGUGCAUCUGUACUUUUGCUACAUGACUGGACAAUUUUCUGCUGGUUUGCAACUUUUUCAGCUUGUGUCAAUUUUCUUCUUCUCUUUUGUUGCCACUUUCUCUGUUUUGUUUUCCUUUUCUCAUACGUGUUUUAAUUCUGGUCAAAGUCUUUUGAAUUAAGUGUUACAUUGUUUUGUUUUCUUUAUUCUUUCUUUGUUUAUAUUUGUCUAGAUUGUCCUUCAGAAUAGGAUCUUAUUUCAUUGUUUUUCUCAAUUUUCUACUCCUCAAAAUUGAAGUUGUUGUUGACUUUGUAUGCACUUAGCCUGUCUGAUAUUACUCUAAAGCUUAGUUUCAGAACAAUCUUUCCCAUCUUUCAUUCAUUGAAAGGUUGGGUCUUAAAAU